This 23-nucleotide non-coding RNA is filed under the name Rattus norvegicus (Norway rat). Lineage: Eukaryota; Metazoa; Chordata; Mammalia; Rodentia; Muridae. The record is from RNAcentral.
UACCUUCUUAGGGUGAACGAGUG